CGGCUCCAAAAUACUCCACAUCAUAACAACCCGGGUUUAAAAUGCAGUUUUUCCACUUUGUUGAGUGUCAUUGUGGGGGAAAAAUGCCUGCGUUUUGCUCCAGGACAAAGAGAAACAGCAUCAACCGCCCACAUCGACUCCAGAUCCACAUGCAGUAAAGCAUGUCGCUGUGUGAAGUAAAGCACGCGUCUCCGGCUGACACGCUACCUGGCUACAACAGUCAGGAGGCAGGGAAACGGCGGAGCGGCGAGGCGUGGACAUGACGACUGCAGAGGUGAAAACAGAUUAAUCCCGAGUCCUGAUGGCAGCUGAAGAAAGAGGAAGAGACUCGGCUUCUUUACUGUGUUUCAUUUUCAAAAUAAAGCUAAUUUUGUCUGUUA
Molecule: long non-coding RNA, 380 nt
Organism: Poecilia reticulata (guppy)
Lineage: Eukaryota; Metazoa; Chordata; Actinopteri; Cyprinodontiformes; Poeciliidae
Source: RefSeq, a predicted model, not a curated record